GACGAACGCUGGCGGCGUGCUUAACACAUGCAAGUCGAACGGAAAGGCCCUGCUUUUGUGGGUUUCUGGGUUGCCAAUCGGUUGAGUAACACGUAAUUAUCCUGCCCUUCAUUUUGGUAUAACUUCAGGAACCUGGGCUUACUCCCGGAUAGGAGCCCCUCUUCCUUGGUGGGGGUUGGAACUUUUCGCCGGUCGGGGUUGGACUCGCGGCUUAUCAGUUUGUUGGUGGGUUAGUGGCUUACCCAGGCUUGGACGGGUAGCCGGCCUGAGAGGGUGACAGGCAACAUUGGGACUGAGAUGAGGCACAGACUCCUACGGGAGGCAGCAGUGGGGAAUAUUGAACAAUGGGCGGAAGCCUGAUGCAGCAACGCCGCGUGCGGGAUGACGGCCUUCGGGUUGUAAAACGCUUUCGCCUGUGACGAAGCGUGAGUGAAGGUAAUGGGUAAAGAAGCACCGGCUAACUACGUG
This 468-nucleotide ribosomal RNA is filed under the name uncultured bacterium. RNAcentral's name for it is "partial 16S ribosomal RNA". It matches the Rfam family "Bacterial small subunit ribosomal RNA", at positions 28 to 507 of the family's 1533-position model. The record is from RNAcentral.